UCUGGCCCUCCCAACAAUGACUGCAUCUGUCCCCAGUGCUGUAACACCAUUUCUUCAUUUGACACGUUAUCCCUGCUGUACGAAAACUUGGUUUGGCAAUUUCAACUUAUAGUACGAGAAAAUUGGAGAUCGAUUGUUCACGUUGGAGU
RNAcentral lists this long non-coding RNA (149 nucleotides) under Daphnia pulicaria. RNAcentral's name for it is "uncharacterized LOC124320062, transcript variant X2". The record is from RNAcentral. Lineage: Eukaryota; Metazoa; Arthropoda; Branchiopoda; Diplostraca; Daphniidae.